This is a long non-coding RNA of Sander lucioperca (pikeperch), 146 nucleotides long. RefSeq lists it as uncharacterized. The record is from RefSeq and is a predicted model, not a curated record. The transcript has 4 exons. NCBI's taxonomy places the organism in Eukaryota, Metazoa, Chordata, Actinopteri, Perciformes, Percidae.
UUGUUGUAUAUGCGGAAACUAGAAAACAAUUUAGUUGAGGGAUGGCUGUGUUAAGUUCAACUGUAAAUGGACUUUUAAUAUUUAUGAAUAAACCCAACUAAUUUCUGAGAUAGUAGUGAUUUGUGUGUGUGUGUGUGUGUGUGUUG